This 2084-nucleotide long non-coding RNA is filed under the name Anser brachyrhynchus (Pink-footed goose). RNAcentral's name for it is "lncRNA (ENSABRG00000003340.1)". The record is from RNAcentral. Lineage: Eukaryota; Metazoa; Chordata; Aves; Anseriformes; Anatidae.
CCCCCCCGGGUCUCCGCUGCCUGACAGCCAACCUCUGACAGCUCCCGCGGCUGCGGCGCGAGAAGAGCAGCAGGAUUCCCAGCGGGACGAGCAGGGGCUGCUUUGCGCUCUCCUUAACCCGCUUAGGUCUUCCUGGAAAACAAAGGAGGAGAAGGAAAAAGCCUCCUUGCCCCUCCUGGAGCAGCAGAUCUGAGCUGAGCCCUUGGGUUUUGGCGGCUGAGGGAACACUUUUCUGUGCACGUCACAUCAGCGUCCCUGCGCGCUGCCCUCCCCAGCCUGCGAAGCCCCAGCUUUUCUGCAAGGCUGCAGGAGUCCCUGCCCCGCGGCGCAGCUCCGAGCUCUGUCCCAGACAAGCUCCCUGCCCUGCUCUCACUGCCCAGACUGCAGCCGUGGAAAAAAAAAAAAAAAUUCGUCCAAAACCGAAAUUUGUCACUUAAUGGUGCAGGACCCAGCGCUACCGGCAGGAAAGGCGUCGCUGGCACUGAGGCAGAGGCCGAACCCCACACGGCAGGGAUGGAGGCUGGCUCCGGGGUGGCUUUCGGGGAGGUUGCUCAGCCUCCGAGCCCCCACCCGUGGCCGUCCCCGUGUCGUGAGUGGGAGGGUCCGGGCAGGCUCGCUGCUGUCCUUGGCCGCGAUGCUGGCCCGGCCCCGGCAUUGCAGCAAUGCCUGGGGGAGGCCUUGGCCUCGGUGGGAUCUGUGGGAUGCCGGCCUCACCCCUCCUCCUCCGGAGCCUCCCGGCCUCCGCAGACCAAGCUGGAAACAAACGAGACUUCAGGGGGACGCGGGAGGACGAGGGGGGUCCCGCCGGAGAGCUGGGACUCGGUGGGGCUGGACGGAUCCAGCCCCCCACGCGAGCACGGACACGGCGCCUGCCUGCUCCCCCCUCCCAGCCAGGGCAGAACCGGGAUGGAAACUUCUCAGCCGCGCGUCGCGAGCUUUGGGGCGGCUCGCUGGAAAAUUCAGAGGGGAAUUUACGUGCUCGCGAACCCCCUCGCCUCGUGCAAAUUGUGAAAAAUGCAAAAAUGCCUCAUCAAAACGCUCGGCGAUGAGAAACGCUGCAGCCCUCCCGCCACCGAGGUGGUGACAGCAGGUUCCUGCCGCUUGCUGUCCCCCUUGCUGCCCUCCAAGAUGCCACUUCUCCUCCUAACUACGCCCAAAAUGAUGUUUUUCAGCCCAUCGCAGCUGUGUGGUCUUUGAUGGGGCUCAGCAGAAAGCGGUCCCCAGAUUGUGACUUUUUGGUGACUCGGUGCUAAGGAAACCCUCCCCGUGCGCCCUGGGUGGGUGACGGCUCUCCAAGACCUUCCCCCACCCAACAGCGGGAUGCGGCACCCAGAGAGCGAAGCACCUCGGGGUGCAACCCUGCAUGGGGGGAUGGAAAAGCUGCCUUCAAAUACCCCCCCUGAAACACAAACCUAAAUAACUGGGUGCUGCGAGAGAGCCCUGGGCACGGCUCGGCACGGAAACGCGGCGUCCCCAGCCCGGGCGGAGCCCCCCCACGCACGCUGCAGCCCGCGGCCCAGGAUAGCAGCCGCCUACGAACAGGAAACCCUCUGCACUUUCGCCUGCGUGGGGGCCCGGGGAAUCUCCUCUGAAUGGAAAGAAACGGCACCCCCGUGCCCCGGGGCCGUCUGGGUGCCCCCGCCUGGGCGGGGAGCUCUGCGGGGGUGCGCGGAAGGGCUGGGGGGGGGGGGGGGGUUCCCCCACCACGAUGCCUGGGUGGAGGGUGCAGCCGACUGGCAUCGCUUUGGGGUAGGAGAAGGGGAUGGGGAGCUCUUCCUGGCAAGAUCCUGCUCUGGGGAUGUCAGAGGGACCUGGGGAAUGGGGAUGGGGCAGGGAGGAGGGCGAGGAAGGGGGAUGGAGGGACGGAUGGCCAUAGUGCAGCCAUCACAGGACAGAAGGGACGGGGUCAGGAGCUGUGUCCGUGGGUGCCAGCUGGAGCUGGGUGCGUCCCUGGAGAGCAUGAGACCACUGGGACAAGGCUGGACCAGCUCUGCAUGUGUCCCUGCUGCCCUGGAGCAUCAGCUUGGGUGGGGGGCUUGGGGAGACAUCGACAGAUGGGAAACCUCCUUCCUUUGCUGCUCCCG